AACGCUAGCUACAGGCUUAACACAUGCAAGUCGCGGGGUAACGAGAGGGAAGCUUGCUUUCCUUGUCGACGACCGGCGCACGGGUGAGUAACGCGUAUCCAACCUGCCCAUUACCACGGGAUACCCCGUCGAAAGGCGGCCUAAUACCGUAUGCAGUCGUCAGAUGACAUCAGAGGACGACGAAAGGAUUGGCGGUAAUGGAUGGGGAUGCGUCUGAUUAGGUAGUUGGAGGGGUAACGGCCCACCAAGCCAUCGAUCAGUAGGGGUUCUGAGAGGAAGGUCCCCCACAUUGGAACUGAGACACGGUCCAAACUCCUACGGGAGGCAGCAGUGAGGAAUAUUGGUCAAUGGGCGCGAGCCUGAACCAGCCAAGUAGCGUGAGGGAUGACGGCCCUAUGGGUUGUAAACCUCUUUUAUGCGGGAAUAAAAUGUUUGACGUGUCAUACAUUGUAGGUACCGCAAGAAUAAGGACCGGCUAAUUCCGUGCCAGCAGCCGCGGUAAUACGGAAGGUCCGGGCGUUAUCCGGAUUUAUUGGGUUUAAAGGGAGCGUAGGCCGGAGAUUAAGCGUGUUGUGAAAUGUAGACGCUCAACGUCUGCACUGCAGCGCGAACUGGCAGACUUGAGUGUGCGCAACGUAGGCGGAAUUCGUGGUGUAGCGGUGAAAUGCUUAGAUAUCACGAAGAACUCCGAUUG
This 694-nucleotide ribosomal RNA is filed under the name uncultured bacterium. RNAcentral describes it as "bacterial SSU rRNA". It matches the Rfam family "Bacterial small subunit ribosomal RNA", at positions 32 to 715 of the family's 1533-position model. The record is from RNAcentral.